ACGAGAACAAAAUAGGGUUAAACAAGUUCAAACUGCAAAAGUCGUAAUUAGUACUAGUAUACCUUAAAGAUAAUAUAUAUGUUUAAUGAAUGCUAUACCCAUGAGUUUAAUCAAUUAGGUAGCACCGGUCAAAGUCCACGAUAAAGGAUAGUACAAGAAUGUAUUGCUAAAUGAAAGUAAUUAGCUUGUUAUUAAUGGAGGCUAUUGUUUCAGGUAGGUGAAGGUUGGCGCCUAUUAAAACGUUUAAACCCGCUGCAUUUGUUUGGACCUGUCCUAAGUCAGGAACCUGAUGUUCAGUGGUUGUCGUUUGUUGAUGUGGUUCAUAAGUGUUUCUCGUUUCUCGUUUUUUAUAUAGAUUAGACCGUUGGUUCUCCUGUUUGAAUGGUUUUACACUAGUCAUUUUUGGGGCCCUUUAUAGCUUGCUGUUCGGUGUGAGCCAAUGCUCCGUGUUGAAGGCCGUACUUUGACCUAUAAUGGUUUACUUUUACAAAUUGUGACUAGGAUGGAGAGUUGUCUUAUUGGCACUCAUACCACAUCUUUUUAUAUCUAUGUAGCUUGUUAUCUAAUGGAGAUAAAUAUCUUGUUACUAAAUUGAAGUGUGUGUCUUGUUACCUAAUGGAGGCAUGCAUCUUGUUAUUCAAUGGAGAUAAAUAUCUUGUUACUAAAUUGAAGUGUGUGUUUUGUUAACUUAUGGAGGUAUGUAUCUUGUUACUAAAUGGAAGUAUAAUAUCUUGUCGAGAUGUAUAUCUUUUAAUUUAAUAGAAGUAUUUUUCUUGUUACUUAAUGAAAAAAUAUGUAUAUUAUUACUUUAUAAACGUAUUUAUAUUGUUGCUUGAUAAAGGUAUACAUCUUGUAACGUAAUGGAGGUACAAUGUAUUUAUCGUGUUACCUGAUGGAAUUCUAAAUGGAGGCAUAUAUCUUGAUAUUAAAUUGGGGUAUAUAUAUUGUUACUAAAUGGAGGUAUAUAUCUUGUUAUUAAAUGGGGUUAUAUAUCUUGUUACUAAAUGGAGGUAUGUAUCUUGCUUGUUACUAUAUGGAGGUAUAUUUCUUGUUACUAAAUGGAGGUAUGUUUCUUGUUACUAAAUGGAGGUAUGUAUCUUGUUACUAAAUGGAGGUAUAUAUCUUGUUACUAAAUGGAGGUAUAUUUCUUGUUACUAAAUGGAGGUAUGUUUCUUGUUACUAAAUGGAGGUAUGUAUCUUGUUACUAAAUGGAGGUAUAUAUCUUGUUACUAAAUGGAGGUAUAUUUCUUGUUACUAAAUGGAGGUAUGUUUCUUGUUACUAAAUGGAGGUAUAUAUCUUGUUACUAAAUGGAGGUAUGUUUCUUGUUACUAAAUGGAGGUAUGUUUCUUGUUACUAAAUGGAGGUAUAUAUCUUGUUACUGAAUGAACCUAUUUAUCUUGUUACUUAAUGGAAGUAUGUAUCUUGUUACUUAAAAGACUAAUUUAACUUGUUGCUUUGAGGAGGUAUGUAUCUUGCUACUUAAUGGAAGUUAAACAUUGUGACAUAAUGGAGGUAUAUGAUAUAGUUAUUGAACAAGUAAAUCGGUAUAUGUCAUUUUAUCUGCACGGCUCGGGUGACCCUGCUUGACCCGAACGACGCAGGAGUUCGUACGUCGUUCGGGUUAAAGGGUCAUCCCGACUGUGCAGAUUAAAUGACAUAUACCGAUUUGAUUGUCCAAUAACUGUUUAACACAUGGCGCCAUCAAUUUACAUGAACGUUUUGGAAAUAUGCCGACGAUAUUCAAUCCACGGUUCAUAGUAAAGUUCUCUUGUAGGGUAAAGAAAGGCGAAAAUACGCUUUUAAGUAGUAAAAGGUUGGUAACUUUUACAUUAUGAACUAAGAUAAGGCUUUCUCCUAUAUUGUUACUUUAUUUGCGUUUUUUUUUUAAAUUGCAGAUCUUUGAUUGUUUCUUUUAAAUGCAUUCACAUUUUUUCCCCUCAAGAAUAUGCUCAUAUGAAGAUUAAUUCGAAGAGAGAUGUGCCUAAAUUAAUAGUGCAAAGAAUACGGGGGAAAAGUUUCAAUUUUCAAUAUUUAACUUCCCUCCUCUCCCCCCCAAUUUUUAAACUGUAUUCGGUGAAUAAUUUUGAAGACAUCUUGCAUUUUAACCAAGUAUGAUUGAUCUUCAACUUAUAUAUUUUUCCAGUUUUUGCACAUACUUAAAUAUAAAUCUUAUAAAAUUCGAUCCCAUAAUGAUAGUCACCUUAAAGAUUAUUUGGAUAUUCUAAAAUACACUCAUUUUUUGGCAGAAAUUAUGAUUUUUUUUUAUUUAUCUAGUCAGACUUAGUUUAACAAUGGUUUCAGAUUUACAUUGUACUUGUGAGAUACUUCAUUUUUUGAAACAAAGUUGUUGAUUUGUCAACUGUCGUAAUUGCAAGGUCAGUGGCGGAUUCAAGGGGGGGGGAGGGGCAUAAAGGGCGUACACUACAUUUGAUUGGAAAAUAUAUAAUUUUUUAGCAUAAAAUCGUCAAAUCUUUUUUAAUAGAAUUACGCCUCCUUUGAAAAAUCCUAUCCGGCCUUAAAAGGUAAGAGUACAUCUGAACUGUGCAGUAUAUCUGAGGUAGUUAAUGCACACCGUAGCUGUACAGUCUCCAGAUUAUUGCAUCUCGUUACUUGAUGUAUAUAUAUCAUGUUACUUAAUAGAGGUCUAUAUCUUGUUACAUAAUGGAGGUAUUAUUUUAUUAAUUAAUAUCUUGUUAGUUAAUUGGAUCGUCUUUUUUGAGUGAAUUGAUCGUGUGUUUUUUUCAAGUGUGAAUAUGAUGCAAAAUAUAAACAAACAGAUUAGCAUUGUAUUUCCCUGAGUUUGUUUUUUUUUUUAAGAUAUUCGAGGAAAUUUUGUUUCUGUCUGUGAAUAAAAAGAAAUGUGGGUAAACGUCAAUGAGACAGUAACCCAAACGAAAAAAUAACCACAAGACCAAAAGACCUCUAGAGGUAGGGCAACAAUCAUUCUUCAACAAUAUAAACGUGUCUAUACAAUAUCUCUAGCUCUAAAUCGUUCCAAUUCCAUAAAAGUCGGGAAUAGAUUUAACAAAAACAAUCAAAGAUCUGAAAUUAACGCAUCCAUGCAGUUUUGAUAUUUGAUUACAGUCAACAAAUCAAUUAAUUCAACACGGCGGGUUUCACUAGUGAAGUAGGAAUUAUCGAACUGCUGACUCUUAUGAAGCAGGAAUUAACAAAUGGGAUAUAACAUCAUAAAUUGUACGGUGAAGUGGUUUAUAGUACCCGUAAGUUAAGAUACGAUCCAUAUAUACAUGAUUGUUCCUAUGAUUAACUCCGUCUUAAAGUUAUCAUUUGUUAAUCAAUGUUCAUCAAUUGUUAAGUAAGAUCUUUUAAAAUUGUCAUUUUCGGUACUAGCAUUGAUUCUAUUUUUAAUAGUGUAAUACAUAACUAAACAUGUAUUAUAUCCAGGUUUAAAAACAAAAUAAUGGCCCUACAUCAUGUUGAUACUUAGCUCGUGCUUUUAUCAGACUGCUUUUGAUCGAUGUCUAUAUACUAAAUCUGUUUCAGGUGUACGGAUUGACAUUUUAGCCUGAGAUUAUCGUUUACUAGUAUUUAUUAGUUGAAAUUGGGUUUUAGACUUUAUACAAAGGUCAAGAGCGUCUGGGGUUUAAUGUGUACAUGAUAAUAUAAUAAUUGUAUAAUGCUUAAUUAUUUCUAAUAUGUCGGUUUAUUGUCUGAUUGUAUAUGUUAAUUCUGUAUGUUGUAAAUUUUUUUUAAUUUGAAAUCACUUUAUAAAAGUCGACACACAAUAGUCCGUCAAAAUCCCAUUGUAUAACGUUCAAAGCUAUAGGACACUUUACCGAAUGUGCUUUUAUAACAGACACGGGAACACACACAUACAAAAAAAACCACACACACAUACUAAACUAGAAAAGAAAAACUCACAACGACAGAGAAUACACCCAUUGUCAUCGAUUUGGAACAGGUUACCGGGACAAA
This is a long non-coding RNA of Mytilus californianus (California mussel), 3937 nucleotides long. RefSeq lists it as uncharacterized. The transcript has 2 exons. NCBI's taxonomy places the organism in Eukaryota, Metazoa, Mollusca, Bivalvia, Mytilida, Mytilidae. The record is from RefSeq and is a predicted model, not a curated record.